Molecule: long non-coding RNA, 713 nt
Organism: Orbicella faveolata
Lineage: Eukaryota; Metazoa; Cnidaria; Anthozoa; Scleractinia; Merulinidae
Source: RefSeq, a predicted model, not a curated record
UCAGCCUCAUUUACCGCACUCUCUCUGGCCCACAGUCUUCUUUUUAAACCGUACACUGGGAGUUACUAGGCUAAGCUGUCUCGUAAUCAUGGGUUGAAUUGUCGAUAUCGUCGAUCAAGAUGUAGUGCGGCAACACGCUCAUGAUCACAAUGCGUCGUAUUUUCCCUCGCAGAUCAUCAAAGUGUACAAAGGGAGGGGAGUUGAUGUUAUCAGUUUUCUCUUUUCCUGAAAUUAUUCUUAAGACACGAGAUCCUGUAAGAUUUUGGUGAUUGCUCAGUCAAGAUGCUAAGAAGUGUAUGUUGUAACUGCUGUGUAGACAAACAAGUUGUUCUCUAAAGGCUUCCUGUGAUGUCUAGGCUGGAAAAGGGAUCAUCCUUUCGCAGUGCAGCCUCUACAUCACAGGAAUGUCUGGAAGACAGACCAAGAGUGUCCACCAACCAAUUAUUAAGAGUUACUCUGUUAAGUAGUGAAUGGAGAUCAUCAAAGGGAGGCUUGUCUACGAUCAGCAGAGAACUAGCAAUACAAUUUGCUAAACACCCUAAUGUGGAAGUUUGUGUCUAUCUCCCUAAGUGUAGUGAAGAAGAUAAGAAAGUUGCUGGAAGUCACAGUGUUCAGCUCAUUGAAGCAGAAGAACUUCCUGGAUUUGAGCCAAUUGAUUGGUUGGCCUCUUUGCCUAAAAAUCAUCUUCCUCACUGUGUAAUUGGACAUGGUCU